Long non-coding RNA from Protopterus annectens (West African lungfish), 194 nucleotides. RefSeq lists it as uncharacterized. The record is from RefSeq and is a predicted model, not a curated record. Lineage: Eukaryota; Metazoa; Chordata; Ceratodontiformes; Protopteridae. The transcript is spliced from 4 exons.
AAAGUGCUGCAGCCUUUAAUGUUGCCAGUGCUGGAGAAGCCAGCAGGGCUGAAACUGCUGCAGCCUUUAAUGUUGUCAGUGCUGGAGAAGCCAGCAGGGCUGAAACUGCUGCAGCCUUUAAUGUUGCCAGUGGCUUACAGGCACAGGAUCCAGAAGUAAUUAUAGUGGUCGAAAAUGACAGCCCUUCUUGUGAG